This 319-nucleotide ribosomal RNA is filed under the name Dyella soli. Its description in RNAcentral is "partial 23S ribosomal RNA". It matches the Rfam family "Bacterial large subunit ribosomal RNA", at positions 2622 to 2925 of the family's 2925-position model. The record is from RNAcentral. Lineage: Bacteria; Pseudomonadati; Pseudomonadota; Gammaproteobacteria; Lysobacterales; Rhodanobacteraceae.
UGAGACAGUUCGGUCCCUAUCUGUCGUGGGCGUUGGAGAUUUGAGGGGGGCUGCUCCUAGUACGAGAGGACCGGAGUGGACGUUCCGCUGGUGUUCGGGUUGUCAUGCCCAUGGCAUUGCCCGGUAGCUAUGAACGGAAGCGAUAACCGCUGAAAGCAUCUAAGCGGGAAGCGCGCCCCAAGAUGAGAUCUCCCGAGUCCCAGAGACUCCUUAAGGCACCAUCAAGACUAGGUGGUUGAUAGGCGCGGUGUGGAAGUGCAGCAAUGCAUUGAGCUUACGCGUACUAAUGAGCCGUGCGGCUUGACCAUAUAACCCCAAG